GAUGAACGCUGGCGGCGUGCCUAAUACAUGCAAGUCGAGCGAACGGACGAGAAGCUUGCUUCUCUGAUGUUAGCGGCGGACGGGUGAGUAACACGUGGAUAACCUACCUAUAAGACUGGGAUAACUUCGGGAAACCGGAGCUAAUACCGGAUAAUAUUUUGAACCGCAUGGUUCAAAAGUGAAAGACGGUCUUGCUGUCACUUAUAGAUGGAUCCGCGCUGCAUUAGCUAGUUGGUAAGGUAACGGCUUACCAAGGCAACGAUGCAUAGCCGACCUGAGAGCGUGAGCGGCCACAAUGGAACAGAGACACGGUCCAGACUACUACGGGGGGCAGCAGUAGGGAAUCUUCCGCAAUGGGCGAAAGACUGACGGAGAAACGCCGCGUGAGUGAUGAAGGUCUUAGGAUCGUAAAACUCUGUUAUUAGGGAAGAACAAAUGUGUAAGUAACUAUGCACAUCUUGACGGUACCUAAUCAGAAAGCCACGGCUAACUACGUG
Molecule: ribosomal RNA, 497 nt
Filed under: uncultured bacterium
Lineage: Bacteria
Description: partial 16S ribosomal RNA
Rfam family: Bacterial small subunit ribosomal RNA
Source: RNAcentral